Molecule: long non-coding RNA, 7752 nt
Filed under: Volvox carteri
Lineage: Eukaryota; Viridiplantae; Chlorophyta; Chlorophyceae; Chlamydomonadales; Volvocaceae
Description: long non-coding RNA (VCAR_LNC003435)
Source: RNAcentral
CCCUCCAGCAACACAUCCAGGCUCGGCAUGCGGUAUGGGCUGUGCACUUCAUCAUAGCGGCCCUCGGGCUAUCUAACGCGUCAUGUGGGCCAGGGACAGGUGGAGCUGCAGGAACCACAGGUGGUACCGGGGGACACAGGAGGGCAGGUGGUGGUCUCCAUCCCUGGGUCCGGACGCUCUCCACCUAUAUGCUGCUCACCCACCCCACCUUCCAACCGUGGGCCCUGAUGACCGCCAGCCAAGCCGGGCCCCGACUCGGCAGAAGUGACCUACCCACGGAUAUCAGCCGGAUUGUGGGCGCCCUGGGACACCUACCACUGCUCCGGGAUAUCGAGACCAGCCCCCUGUCCCCCGGACCGUGGUGCUGGGCAACCGUGUUGUGGGGUAACCCGUUGCUCCCCAAUACCGGUGAGGCAGACCCAGACAGUUUGAACCGCCACCCGGGCCUGGAGACGCACUUCGUGGGGAUCGCUACAUGCAGGAAACUGCAAACGGUGGGUGACCUAGUGCGGGUCUGGGACCUAGUGGUGCAUACUCGAGUGGCCUCCCUCCCCAGGUCGACCUUGUCACGACAAUCUAGCGUCACGUUCAUUUUACCGUCUUUAUAAUCGUCUUAGGUUAUAAUCGGUGUGAAUACACGAAUUUCGUGUAUAAUCGUGUAAGGUGUUUGGUUCUUAUCUUACACUUCGCUGAUCGACUUAUGGACGAGACGUGAAUGUAUGCUCGUUUGCGUAUGUUUUUGUAUUUUACCUGUUAAUUGUCUAUUUCUUGUGUGAAUGUUCUGUCACACGGUCAUAAGGUGUUUCACUUGUGUCAUUUGUGGACUAUACGUCGUGGUCGUACUCGAGGCUUGUCUUUUGAGGGCCUCCUGUGAUCAACAACUUGACUUCGGUAUUUAUAGCCGGCAGCGAGCUUGGAAAAGUCGCUUUACGGCUCAUGAUCGGAACAUUGUAAAGUUCUCUGAGCUAGACAACAAGCCCUGUGCGGACCUCCCUUCUCGUAAGCCACAUAAGUAACUUCCUUUCACCAGCCGAACUCCUGUGUGGGCCACUCAACGCCCAUAUCCUUCACGCCGGGCAUACUCAGUUGGUGAGGUAAAUCUUUGCCACUGUUGAUUGAUUGCCUGGAGGGAAUCUUGGCCCCUUUCGCGGGUUGCUAUUUGCUGCGUAUUACGACUUGCCCGUUCGUGUGCCGUCUAGUCAGCAUUCAAGCUACCUGCAGGACUUCGCCUAGACCACCCUGCAUUCCAUAGCCGUAAAGCCUAAAUCAGGCUAGAAGACCAAGUAAGUUCGGUUUUUGGUUUACCUUAGGUGUUCUGUCGCCUAGGGGAUAUUCGGGUUGCUUUUCGCAGCACCCUUUUUGGUAGGUUAGGUAGGCUAGGUCACGCCAGCCGCACCUGUUAGCAGUGUUACGCACAGCUGCCCUACUAUUCAGCAAUUUCGGGCCAUUUUCUACUGGGUCGAUUUGCUUUCGUAUUCGGUCACUCUGACAAUCGAUACUGUGUCACGCACAGCCGUCUGUUGGACACUCGAUCCCGAAUACUUUAUACAAUCAACUCGUUUUACCAUCUAGGCUUGGUCAGCCCAGCCUAACAUUAUUAUUAUAUAAUACAUUCAGCUCACCUGAACAGCAGGUUCGAGCUUCUCUGUGCUUAACGAUCAUUUCGCGUACCUUCGGCCGAAUUAUACGGGGUCACACCAAUUCUUUUGCUUUCACUAGCCUCAAUUCGCUACUGCAGUUUACAUCGAGGCAGUUAACCCCAGGCCACGCAGAGGACGCUCAGGGCGCAGUCCCUUUGGUUUUCACACCAACACUUUUCUUCACAGUGGUGUUCGGGCCACUCCAGUCAGACACCGGCACCAUCGGUUGAUUCCACAUAUCUUCGAGCCUCUUGGCAAAUCUCCUGAACUCACUUUUAUAGGUCUUUUGGCUCGCGGCGUUAGGGUCGACAUCGAGCCGCGACCGGUCAUUUGCAAUAUCCGCUACCUGUCAGCUGUGCAGCUAUAUCUGGACCUGGACCAGCUUCCCAGGCCGAGGCAAACUAUUGUUAUCAGCACAACAGGUGUUGCAAUUUCCUCUAUUUGAAUACGGAGACUUUUGUGCGCCUAAGCGCAAUGAUAUGAUGGAGUAAACGCUGCAAGCUUAUCGAGUCGGUACUCUACUCUUUCCCGACCCAGCGUUACCAAUUAUUCCAGCUGUUUUUACGCAGCUACUCUUUGUUUGCAGCUCAAUACUACGCAACUUUACAGCGACACCAGCUUAGGUGGGGCGGGUUUAGUACUCUUUAGUAGUCGCUAGGCUUUUUAUUGCUUAGUCCUUGCCUGUUCGCUUCGCGUUUGUUGCUGCAUCUUUUCCUUUUUCUUAUCUUGUUUUUCGUAAGCUAAUUGUUACACAGGGAAGCAUAAGUCCCACGGAGCCUCUACGUCGCAACAUCCCGCGGGCCGCCACUGCGCAACAUCUUCGCUCGACGACUCAGCGAGAUCAGCAGGAGGUAAGCAAGGUUUCGCGUAAGGAUACACGUAGGGUGUCCACCUCAGGGUCUAGUACUAGUGAAGCCGCCCGUAUUCCGCGCUCGCGUUCCGAUAGUGGCCUAGCAGUACAGGUGGAACUUCCCCUGACUAAGUUAGCUCUAACUGAGGGUGAGGUUACUGCUCCACUAGAAACCCGCGGAACAGAUUCCGAUAGGGAGAAGUGGUCGCGUCUCUUUGAAGCGCUAGGUAGGCCCCGCACCUACAUCAACCCUAUCUUUUCUAGGGAUAGCGACUCAGACGACGAAAUAAUGCAGAACCUCUACCCCACUCUCGACCCGUUCCAGCACAGCAGGUUGGAUUAUUUCCUCACUAAGGUUUUCCAGCAAGGAGUUGCCUACCCUCUUUCUAGGAACAACUUGUCUGUUGAGAGCCUUAAGUCGUACCUGGACGCUCUGCCUGGACGAAACACGCCAUUUGAAGCGUGGUACAACUCACACAGGCAAAACCUCAUAUCUAGGGUAACCCCAAAGUUUAGAAAAAAAAGUAUUCUCAUCUCAAUCUAUUGAGAUCUCAUGAGAUCUCAAUAGAAUGGGUUAUAUUCUAAUCUCAAGUUUUGGCAGCUUUCUGGGAAAUGCAUGACUGGCUCUGAAACUUUGUAGGAUGAUUCUGUAUGGUAUAUUUGUUAUAAUAAUUAAGUUUUGGGACGUUGCGAAGCACAAUUGCACGACAGAAACAAGCAAUUAUACUCCGCCGCAGUAUUGACCCAUGGGUCACAGCAUGCGAGGGCGCACUGGACGGUCGAGUUCACGCCACAGGCGCUUAUCCCUUUGAUGCUUCUUAAACUCCAUACCCUAAGGGUUAAAGUUUCAACGAAUCAGGGCCCAGAUCAUCAUUCCUAAGCCCUGGCAAUGCACAAAAGCCGACAUGGUAUGCCAUCAAGAUCCCAUGCUGGCCAAGUUCAGCAGACAUAGACUGCUACCAAUGCCGACCGAACAACUUGAAUCCCUAGCUACUUCACUCCUCCUCCUCCCCGGCCAGCAGCUGCAUCACCACCUCCUCAUCCGACAGGGUGUUGCGCUUGGCCGCGUAGCUGUCGUUCUGGCGGAUGAAGAUGAGCUUCAUCGCACGCAUCUGCCCCAGGCGGUUGUGGGCCUUGUGGAACAGGUUACCCCACAGCGACCAGUUGCGCUCUGAUGCGCAGGUGGUUGCGUGCAUGCGGAGGACGCGGUUGGCCACGAAAGCCAGGGCCGGAUACGAAUCCGCCAUAUGCACCGUCCAAAACUUCAGGCGCAACGGCAGCCCGGCCAGCUCAACCUUCUUCACCUUCGACUUGCCAACCGUCUGCUCGACCUCCUUGCGUGCAGUCAGCGUUGGCAUGAAAUCACGGCACUCAUCCGGUACCCUACCGGUCUAGUAAGGAAAUAUAUGGCUUCUAAAGAUUUAUAAAGAAUUAUAGUGCCGUACAUUAGAUAACGACCCAACCGUCUCCUCAAGUGCCAAAAAAGACCUUCUAAAUUCUCAAUGAGAUUCUCAAGAGAAAUAAUUAGAUUAGAAAACCGACUUUAGAUGAGUGCCAACCCUACUCAUAUCUAAAGCCGCAGCACACUUGGUGUAUCCGAACCAGGUGCGGCAGCCAACACCGUCUCCCCGCGUCAACUGUUUGACUAUUACGCCCACAUCCUAGAGGAAAACUUUGCCUCCGCGCGCGCUGAAAGUGAUCUUGCGCGCUUCAAAAGCAUGCAGCAGGGAGCUCUCUCUCCCAUAGUCUUCAAGGAUAUGCUGCUAGCGCUUGAGAAGAAGCUGGACGGUAGAGUCAGUAAACACCAAGUCGCCGAACGUUUCCUUGAGGGCUUAAACCCCGUGGUUCGGCAUCACCUGGAGAGGCACCUCAUCACCGUGGAGCGUACCAAAUGGUAUGAUCGUACCGGAUUGCCUGUGAAAUCUUUUGGUACUGUAUUGCCGAGGGUAUCACACUGCAGGCGGAGUGGCGGCCGCGAGAAGAAAACACUCUGGCGGACUACCUCUCAAAGCUGCAGGACCGGGACGACUGGAUGGUGAACCGUAAGGAAUUUCAGAGGCUCAACACCGCCUGGGGCCCCUUUGACAUUGAUCUUUUCGCGUCACACACCAAUCACCAGCUGCCACAAUACUAUUCCCGCUUUUUCACGCCAGAUACCGCGGGUGUAGAUGCCUUUCGGUUCCACUGGGGGCGGAAUUGCUGGGUGAAGGUCCUGCGGCACGCAGAGCUGUGCAAAGCACGCAUCUGUCUGAUCGUUCCCCUCUGGCCGACACACGACUGGUGGUCCUAUCUGACUCAAGACGGGAAGUGGUUUGCGCCUUGCGUCCACGGCCUAAGAGAGCUGGGCAAGGCGUAUGAUCUUUUCCUGCCAGGGUCUUCGGGAAACGAGGUCCCAAAAGGGUCCGCUAACUGGCUAUCGCUCGCACUUCUCAUCGAUUUCCAAACACCUUCCCCGCGCUGGAUCGCUGUGCCCCCCGACCCUUAUGCCCCCCGGCUUUCACAGGAAUAAGGGCACGCGUGCAGACACUGCUUGGCCAGGUGCCCUUGGACGCUAACCCAAUGAUCGGCGAUCUAGCUCUGGCGUUGGCAAGCCAGGCACACAAGGUGCGAGCUAGCAGCACAGUCGCCCAGUACAAGGAGCCAUGGCAGGAGUUCCUAGAUUGGGCAGAGCUACUACAUAUUCGGGCGAGCGACAUUUACGACAUCAGGCCAGAGAUAGUGGCCAUGUACCUGAUGCACGUCUACCAAACCGUGCAAGCGGAUGAAGUAGGUCCGGGUCGCAUCGCGGGAGCGAGCGCUGCUAUUGCCUGCCAUUUCUUCCUCACGGGCCGCCCCUCACCUACGGAGCACCCAGCAUGCAACCUCGUUCGGGACCUGGGCAGGCGCACACUGCAAGGGAAGAAGCUGCACAGGGAAAGCAUGCAACCAGAGCAUGUCCGCAUGUUGGCCGCUCACUUCGCUGGGCCGGAUGCCUCACUGCCAGACCUGAUGAUGGUAGCGGCCAUAUCAGUUAUGUUCGCGGGUUUCCUAAGGUUCAACGACCUAGCCCACAUCUCCGUCAAGUCUGAUCUGCUCACCCUGCACGACACUCACAUGGCCAUCACACUGCCUAGGUCCAAAACGGACCAGGAGGGCAAAGGGCAGACCAUCCGGAUCGCGCGCGUGGGGGGCGUGGCCUGCCCAGUGGGCUUGACAGAGAGGCUGCUGGCGCUUGGUAACUAUGUCCGUGUCCCCAGUUCCCCCGUGGAGGAUGUGGGUCCGCUGCUGUGCAGGGUUAAGACGACACAGCAAGGCCACCAGCUGCAGCAGAGGACCGGCUCUGUUCAGUCACCGAUCCCCAGCCUCAGCUAUACCUCCUUCCGGGAGAAGCUCGCUGCCAUGUGCAGCGCCGUGGGCAUCAAGCGCGGCAUCAUGCCACACUCCAUGCGCAUCGGGGGAAACAGUGCGGCAGCAGCCAGAGGGGUAUCUGAAGAAGCCCGCAAGGCCCAUGGUCGCUGGAAGACGGACGCAAUGGUUCAGCUAUAUACCCGGCUGGAAGACGAUGCCGCACUGGAAACCACGCGCAACCUGGGCCUCGCCUGAGUCAGAGGGCCCCUCCUGCUAUCUUUUCUGUCUGCAGUAGUGUAAGGCCCUUGGCAGCCCCGGUUUCGCCUCGCCCUGUCCUAUCCGGCACCCCGAACGCAACCAUACAGCAAGCCAUGAAGGCUAUAGGACAUAAUUGUAGCUUAGAUGCGGCAGGAGCAAAAGCGAGUAUAGCCUCUAAGCUAGGUUAUGUACGGCAGCCGUAUGGCUUGCUGAGAAUUCGAAUUCACUAUUUCAGCUGACAGCUCCAUAAUUCCGGCAUUCUGCCUACACUAUUGGAGCUUAUUAUUAUUGUUGCUCUCAUUGGGGCUCCUGGCAUUCCUGGACUUCGCCAAGGCCUAUGACACGGUGGAUCGUGGGUUCCUCCUGGCAGCAAUGGAGACCAUGGGUGCAGGGCCACAGCUCUGCGCCUGGAAACACGAGCCCAAGCGAUGGUGAAUGGCUACAAAUCGAAGCUGGUGAACAUGGAAGCAGGGGUACGGCAAGGGUGCCCCCUCACACCCUUGCUCUACCUCUUCGUUGCUCAGGCCCUACAAUGCUGGCUCCGGAGCCAAGACGUGGGGAUCAAAUUACAGCCAGCCGACUCACAACCAGUCACCGUGUGCCAAUAUGUGGAUGACACGGAAGUGGUGCUGCAGGGUGAAGACUCAGUACCAUCGUUCCUCCAGGCCAUGGACACCUUUGCCCGGGCAUCUGGCCAAUGCCUAAAUCUCGACAAAGUGGAGCUGCUGUGGAUUGGCCAAUUAAACCAACAGCAGGCGCAACCUGCAACCCAGGCCGGACCCCAAUCAGCUGCCCCUCAGCAGGAGUCAAGAGGAGGUCUCAAGGUGGUGACCACCGCCACCACCCUGAACCUGCCGAUUGACAACCAGCCAUCCCCGCCACAGCCCGACUGGAUGAAGAGACUCAGGGAAGCCAAGCAGCGACUGCAGCGGCUCUCCCGCUUCCCGCUAUCAGCAUUCGGUCGAGCCACAGCGGCAUCGGUGUACGGAAUGCAGACAGUCACCUGGCACAUGGAGCAUGGUGGGCCGCCCCCCAACAUUAUGCUGGACGAAAUAGAACGCCUAACGGCCCGCCUCGUCGACCGGCAGCAGGGCCCAGAAGACCCCGGCCGCCGCUUGACAGGGGUGCCUAAGGAUCUCUUGACUGGCCACCCGUCGGCUGGAGGCUUUGGCCUGCUGCCCCUCCAGCAACACAUCCAGGCUCGGCAUGUGGUAUGGGCUGUGCACUUCAUCAUAGCGGCCCUCGGGCUAUCUAACGCGUCAUGUGGGCCAGGGACAGGUGGAGCUGCAGGAACCACAGGUGGUACCGGGGGACACAGGAGGGCAGGUGGUGGUCUCCAUCCCUGGGUCCGGACGCUCUCCACCUAUAUGCUGCUCACCCACCCCACCUUCCAACCGUGGGCCCUGAUGACCGCCAGCCAAGCCGGGCCCCGACUCGGCAGAAGUGACCUACCCACGGAUAUCAGCCGGAUUGUGGGCGCCCUGGGACACCUACCACUGCUCCGGGAUAUCGAGACCAGCCCCCUGUCCCCUGGACCGUGGUGCUGGGCAACCGUGUUGUGGGGUAACCCGUUGCUCCCCAAUACCGGUGAGGCAGACCCAGACAGUUUGAACCGCCACCCGGGCCUGGAGACGCACUUCGUGGGGAUCGCUACAUGCAGGAAACUGCAAACGGUGG